UUGCUUCAGCAGCACACAUACUAAAACUGGAACGACACAGAGAAGGUCAGCACGGCCCCCACGCAAAUUCGUGAAGCCGUCCAUAUUUUU
This 90-nucleotide small nuclear RNA is filed under the name Catagonus wagneri (Chacoan peccary). Lineage: Eukaryota; Metazoa; Chordata; Mammalia; Artiodactyla; Tayassuidae. The record is from RNAcentral.